GGUUGCUGCUCUCCAUGAGCUGUUCCAACUGUGAAGCAAAAGCUUCAUGCAUAAAGGCAUCCCAACGCAGUCAAUGACGCAUAGGAGAAAGAGGACAGAGAUAAGCUUCUUGCCUGUUCCAGACACUGAGGAUCAGGCAGAGAGAGAGGCUCCUGCCAGGCUGAGCUUUUCCGGAGUGUGGAUAUGAACAGCCAUCUUGGGUCCUGAGGUGGAAGCCAUGUGUGGAAGAUGGAGGGCAUCGGUUAGAAGGAGUCUAGUCCCUGAUGGUCACUGAGCUGCAGAACCAGCCUGGGCUGCUUCCUGCUGGAUGUCACUUACUAGAGAGCGAAAUUAAUGUGCUUCAGCUACUGUUA
This 353-nucleotide non-coding RNA is filed under the name Pan troglodytes (chimpanzee). Lineage: Eukaryota; Metazoa; Chordata; Mammalia; Primates; Hominidae. The record is from RNAcentral.